RNAcentral lists this non-coding RNA (178 nucleotides) under Saccoglossus kowalevskii. The record is from RNAcentral. Lineage: Eukaryota; Metazoa; Hemichordata; Enteropneusta; Harrimaniidae.
CCCUACCGAUAGCAUGUACCUUGACGCGGUUGUAGGGCAACUAAUUGGUUGGUUUCGCUAUACUAUCUCUGGUUCAUAUCACUACGAUUUAGUGAAGAACUGAUAUUGAACUUUUCCAAUGAAAAUAAUCUUAUAUCUUGAUUACCAAUGACAAGCAACCAAUUAGACUAAACCAUGC